This 467-nucleotide ribosomal RNA is filed under the name uncultured bacterium. RNAcentral's name for it is "partial 16S ribosomal RNA". It matches the Rfam family "Bacterial small subunit ribosomal RNA", at positions 28 to 507 of the family's 1533-position model. The record is from RNAcentral.
GAUGAACGUUGGCGGCGUGCUUAACACAUGCAAGUCGAACGGAAAGGCUCCUGCUUGCCGGGGUACUCGAGUGGCGAACGGGUGAGUAACACGUGGGUGAUCUGCCCUGCACUUCGGGAUAAGCCUGGGAAACUGGGUCUAAUACCGGAUAGGACCACAUUUUGGAUGGUGUGGUGGAAAGUUUUUCGGUGUGGGAUGAGCUCGCGGCCUAUCAGCUUGUUGGUGGGGUAAUGGCCUACCAAGGCGUCGACGGGUAGCCGGCCUGAGAGGGUGUACGGCCACAUUGGGACUGAGAUACGGCCCAGACUCCUACGGGAGGCAGCAGUGGGGAAUAUUGCACAAUGGGCGCAAGCCUGAUGCAGCGACGCCGCGUGGGGGAUGACGGCCUUCGGGUUGUAAACUCCUUUCGCUAGGGACGAAGCGUUUUUGUGACGGUACCUGGAGAAGAAGCACCGGCUAACUACGUG